Long non-coding RNA from Drosophila ananassae, 884 nucleotides. RefSeq lists it as uncharacterized. Lineage: Eukaryota; Metazoa; Arthropoda; Insecta; Diptera; Drosophilidae. The transcript is spliced from 2 exons. The record is from RefSeq and is a predicted model, not a curated record.
CUGGUUGAACCUUAUGAAACCUUUACCAUAACGCUUGCCCACUUUCAGUGCACUUACUCCAUGCAAAUGAAUCCAAUUCAGAAAUGGCUCGAAAAGCUAUAGAAGAAUAUAUAUAGGAGAUCAUCCGGGUGGACAGGGCGACAAGAAAUUCCAAGAAUUGUGCGCGUCAAUUGAUUUACUCAGCUGUGCGGCUGAGAGCCGAGCUGUGAGCCGUCCCGCCGGUUGAUAACUCUGAGAUUUGUUAUAUUUGCUUCAUCAUCGCGCCACAAACGAGGCAGUUGAAGCCGCGCUCGUUGUGUUGGAGGAGGGAGAGCUGGACACGAUGGAGUGGUGGAGCGAAGCGAUCUUCAUCAUCAUCAUCAACUCCAUCGUGGCGAGCUCAGACCGCCGCACACAUGUGCGCACAUUAAAAAGCAAGUUUCUCAGGUGUUUAAAAGCGUUUAAAAAGAAAACAGACCCGACGGCAGCGGCAGAGGGUGAGCAGAAAAAGGGGGACCCAAGAUCCCAACGAGACAACAAUAAACGCAGGCCGCAGUUGAAGACCAAAAGAAGAGUUAAAAAUACUCCAACUCGUACUGGUACUAUGCCAAGAGCCAGUUAAAGCCAUGAUCAUGAUCUCGCGAGCCAUGGAAACCGCGGGCGGAUUGGACAGACAGUUGGCGGCGACGCCAAUCUACAAUAGCAUGGUUUCAAUGGAACUUGAAGUAACAUUUAAAGAAAGUUCAGUCUAUAAGGUAUAAGCCCUUUUUCAGGCUUAGUACUUAUACCCGCUACUUGUAGAUGACCAAAAAUCGAUCAUUCUUUAAUAAAUCACCCUAAAAUUAAGGUAUUUAAUAGUAAUAUGUAUGUAUAUGAUUUUAAAAAUAAAAAACCCUACAAAACUA